Long non-coding RNA from Pocillopora damicornis (cauliflower coral), 704 nucleotides. The record is from RefSeq and is a predicted model, not a curated record. Lineage: Eukaryota; Metazoa; Cnidaria; Anthozoa; Scleractinia; Pocilloporidae.
CAAACUUACGUUUAACAUCUGCCUCUGUAGAUUUUCGUGACAUGUCACGCAGUCUAAGGUCAGUCAAAAACACGCUAAUUUUCGAACAUUUUCCUCUUUUUCGUGUAUUUCAUUUGAAUUGCUAUCUUUCUUACCUUCAGUUUCUAAAACUAACGUACAUAAGCUUUCUAUACCACUGCAUUUGAAGACAAUCAUUAAAAUAUUUCGUUCGGGUUUUUGAGACUUAUGGUUAGCGAUUCAGACAUGUCGAAGAGGGGUUCACGCCACAUGCAAGCAGUGGCCAUGGAGUCUGGGGCUAUAACUCUAAAGCGCAUGCCUAUAACUGGUCAUUACCGCGAAAUACGAAAAAAACAAUAAAUUUGGCGCAAUUUGAUGUAUAAUACAUGAGGUUUGAAUAUUGUUUGGGUUCGGGAAAUGAGACUCGAAGUUACGCGCUGGUGAUUUUUUCUUCGCUGGCUCUUCUCGCGGUGGCGGUAGAUGCACAAAACGAUUUCGGCGAAGAAACAAAUGGUCCAAAAGGGGAAAAACUGCCUUGGUUUACUUACGAAAAAACAACUAUCUCAUAUAUUCCCUGUCGAAGAAGUCUGAUCAAGAGCCGAACGACGAAAGUGCUGAUUCUGUGAUUGUGGGAAUCGUGGAAAAAUUUUUGAGGAAUCUGAGAUUCGCGGAGUUGUUAUAAAUUCCAGAAUUCUCAACGUCUUCAG